UAGACAAUACCAAAUCUUGCAAUGACACAGAAAAUCUUUCCACAAAUGUUUCUGGUGGAAGGAGCUGGGAAACUACACUUUGUACUGCAACCAAAAGAACUGUUAAUAAGAGUGUUGAAGGGCAGAGGCUAUCUCCUUCAGGAUUGUUUGAGUUGCCACUUGAUUUUGUUAUUCACAAAUGCUUAGUGCAAGAAAUAAUACUUCAAUAUACCUAUGUCAGCAAGUUUACUGUAAAAUUACUAGAGGAAGGAUUUGAUUUGCAAGGACAUCUUCUUGCAUUGCGGCGGUACCACUUUAUGGAAAUAGCGGAUUGGGCAGAUUCAUUUAUCACAUCUCUGUGGAAUCAUGUAUAAUGCAUACCGAGUUACUUUUUCAAUUUGUUAUCUUUUCUGAGCUGAAAUUGCUGAUGAAAUUCCUUUGUGAUAUCCUUCAUUGCCACUCCUUGAAAGCACAGAAGUUGCGUGUCAUAGAGGCAGAUAGUAAGCUUCAAGAUAUUCAAUCUUGAAUUGUCUGUUCAAAAGUCAUCGUAUGAACAUAUGACCGCAACAAGGAUAGAUUAUUUGUCUACAUCAAAGAACAGAAUCGUGUGAACAUAUGACCGCAACAAUGGCUUGAAGUUUGAGAGUUUGAUAGAAUCAUUCUUUUUGGUAUUGUGUAGCUUUCUGUUUUUGUUGCAUCCAAUUGCUUUUUGGUUUUAAAAGCUUUUGUGAUUGUGUAGCUUUCUGUUUUUUGUUUUAGAAGUUUUUGUGAUUGGUUGCUAUUUGGUACUUGGUUUUAUUUGGGAGUUCUGAAGCAACUAUUGGGUUUUUCAGUGUUUGGGGCCUAUCUAUAGUUCUUCAUUUUUUUGUAAUCGCUCCAAGUUUUCAGUCGAAGAUUUUGGAUAAAUAAAAGUUUUCUUGAAUAA
Molecule: long non-coding RNA, 904 nt
Organism: Cucumis sativus (cucumber)
Lineage: Eukaryota; Viridiplantae; Streptophyta; Magnoliopsida; Cucurbitales; Cucurbitaceae
Exons: 2
Source: RefSeq, a predicted model, not a curated record